GGCGUUGUGGCUCAAUGGAGAGCGCUCGCCUACCAUGCGUGAGGCACCAGGUUCGAUCCUCAGUACCA
This 68-nucleotide transfer RNA is filed under the name Ictidomys tridecemlineatus (thirteen-lined ground squirrel). RNAcentral's name for it is "Spermophilus tridecemlineatus (thirteen-lined ground squirrel) tRNA". It matches the Rfam family "tRNA". Rfam says of the family: Transfer RNA (tRNA) molecules are approximately 80 nucleotides in length. Their secondary structure includes four short double-helical elements and three loops (D, anti-codon, and T loops). The record is from Rfam by way of RNAcentral. Lineage: Eukaryota; Metazoa; Chordata; Mammalia; Rodentia; Sciuridae.